UUGAAUUUCGGGAUCAAAUUUGCUGGUCGUGCCUUCGGUACGCACUGGUAUUAUUGGUUUCUCCUUCUGACUAAUCGCGAUGUCAUUAAUUGGUGUCGUGGGGGAAUCAGGACUGUUACUUAGAAAAAAUUAGAGUGUUUAAAGCAGGCUCACCGCUUGAAUACAUUAGCAUGGAAUAAUGAAAUAGGUACGUUUGAUCUAUUUUGUUGGUUUCUAGGAUCGACGUAAUGAUUAAUAGGGAUAGUUGGGGGCAUUAGUAUUCAAUUGUCAGAGGUGAAAUUCUUGGAUUUAUUGAAGACUAACUACUGCGAAAGCAUUUGCCAAGGAUGUUUUCAUUAAUCAAGAACGAAAGUUAGGGGAUCGAAGACGAUCAGAUACCGUCGUAGUCUUAACCAUAAACUAUGCCGACUAGGGAUCGGAUGAUGUUAAUUUUUAAUGACUC
RNAcentral lists this ribosomal RNA (442 nucleotides) under fungal sp. RNAcentral describes it as "SSU rRNA". It matches the Rfam family "Eukaryotic small subunit ribosomal RNA", at positions 634 to 1077 of the family's 1831-position model. Lineage: Eukaryota; Fungi. The record is from RNAcentral.